CCGCCGGCCGCCCCGCCGGGCCCCGCGAGGCCCAGGCCCCGUUGCACCCACGGUGGCGACGGGCCCGGGAGGCGCUUGGAGACCGGCGGGCGGGCAGGCGAGCGCUCGGCGGCCGCGGGGGCGGGCGUUCUGGAACGUUGGGCGGCCGGGGGAGCUGAGGGGGCUAUUCGAACGGGGCGGCGGGAAGCCGUGACGUCACGCGGCCGGGCAUUGUUCUCGGGGCCGGGCGGGCGCGCGAGUCGUGGGACUGCGGCCCGUCUCUAUUCGUGCGUCUCCUCCUCCGCAGGUCAGCUCCGCCGAAGGCGCCGCCAAGGAAGAGCCCAAGAGGAGAUCGGCGCGGUUGUCAGCUAAACCUCCUGCAAAAGUGGAAGCGAAGCCGAAAAAGGCAGCAGCGAAGAUUCUUCAAACACCUAAAUGAAAGUGAUAAAUUCAAAACUGAUCCUUUUAGUUCCUCAUUAUAUGAUAUGAAGGGAUUAACUGUAGCAGGAUAGUCAACCUGACCGUACGGCAUGGUGCUUUUUUUCAGGAUAAAUCUUCAGACAAAAAAGUGCAAACAAAAGGGAAAAGGGGAGCAAAGGGAAAACAGGCCGAAGUGGCUAACCAAGAAACUAAAGAAGAUUUACCUGCGGAAAACGGGGAAACGAAGACUGAGGAGAGUCCAGCCUCUGAUGAAGCAGGAGAGAAAGAAGCCAAGUCUGAUUAAUAACCAUAUACCAUGUCUUAUCAGUGGUCCCUGUCUCCCUUCUUGUACAAUCCAGAGGAAUAUUUUUAUCAACUAUUUUGUAAAUGCAAGUUUUUUAGUAGCUCUAGAAACAUUUUUAAGAAGGAGGGAAUCCCACCUCAUCCCAUUUUUUAAGUGUAAAUGCUUUUUUUUAAGAGGUGAAAUCAUUUGCUGGUUGUUUAUUUUUUGGUACAACCAGAAAAUAGUGUGGGAUAUUGAAUUAUGGGAGGCUCUGACUGUCUCGGGUGUCAGCUUAACAUUCCACAGAUGGGGGGUUAGUUUUUAUAUCCUAUA
Molecule: small RNA, 1015 nt
Filed under: Pan troglodytes (chimpanzee)
Lineage: Eukaryota; Metazoa; Chordata; Mammalia; Primates; Hominidae
Description: processed transcript
Source: RNAcentral